RNAcentral lists this long non-coding RNA (671 nucleotides) under Sus scrofa (pig). RNAcentral's name for it is "lncRNA (ENSSSCG00070021056.1)". The record is from RNAcentral. Lineage: Eukaryota; Metazoa; Chordata; Mammalia; Artiodactyla; Suidae.
CAUAUUUACACUGUAUUCCAUUCCAGCGCGAUGACUCAGAAUUCAGAAGGUUGGUGCUUCAGCCACCCACAGCAGGUUUUCCAGGUGCUUUUCUUCUCAGGGCCCAAGAGGAUCGUCUUGGGUGGAUGCUGCCACCUGGUGGCCAGUAUGGGAAGCUUUAAAAAGUUCCUUGAUAGAGGGAAGUGUGUCUGGUUCAGCCCUGGAAUACCGGUGCCUCCUAGGCGUUCUGCAAAUAGUAGCUGAAUGAACGAAGGAACCAAUCCACCCGAGGCAAAAUCAUCAGCAUGAAGUCGUUAGUGUAGGUGUGUGUAUCCUACAGCCACAGAAUGAAAUAUAAAAUUGGAAAAUUGAAGCGUCCGGGACCCUGAGGAACAGAAUCGUGAGCCCUUGAUGGCGAGGUUGGAUGCGUGUUGUAUUGAGAAAGUAUUGUAAUCGCGGGAGGAGGGAUCCAGACGGGAGGAGGGAUCCAGACGAUGGAGGAGUAAGCGAGGCGCUCACUUUCUGUCACAAACGCAUCAGUAAAAACCCCAUCUACAUGUAGAAGGAGUCGUACAGAAUAUCUCAGGAACGCUGUCAGAAGACCUGAAGCCUCCCCAAAGGGCAAGAAACCCUGCACAUAACUGGGUAGAACAAAAGGAAAAUAAAAAACGGGAGAGAGAGUGGAGGAAUCA